CGUAGGAUGAACGCUGGCGGCGUGCCUAACACAUGCAAGUCGAACGGAGCUGCGACGCUGAUGAUUGGAGUACUGUACGAAGAGAAUCUUGUCGUAGCUUAGUGGCGGACGGGUGAGUAACGUGUGGAUAACCUGGUCCAUCCAGGGGGAUAGCAGCUGGAAACGGCUGGUAAUACCGCAUAAGCGCACAGAGAGGCAUCUCUCGGUGUGAAAAAGAUUUUAUCGGGAUGGAAUGGAUCCGCAUCUGAUUAGCCAGUUGGCGGGGUAACGGCCCACCAAAGCGACGAUCAGUAGCCGGCCUGAGAGGGCGGACGGCCACAUUGGGACUGAGACACGGCCCAGACUCCUACGGGAGGCAGCAGUGGGGGAUAUUGCACAAUGGAGGGAACUCUGAAUGCAGCGACGCCGCGUGGGUGAAGAAGUAUUUCGGUAUGUAAAGCCCUAUCAGCAGGGAAGAUAAUGACGGUACCUGAGUAAGAAGCCCCGGCUAACUACGUGCCAGCCGCCGC
This 509-nucleotide ribosomal RNA is filed under the name uncultured bacterium. RNAcentral describes it as "bacterial SSU rRNA". It matches the Rfam family "Bacterial small subunit ribosomal RNA", at positions 26 to 518 of the family's 1533-position model. The record is from RNAcentral.